AAUGGGUCAGAUUCGAGGUGGAUUUUCAAAAAUUCGAACCCAAAUCCGACUCCAAACCCGAAACCCGAACCCGAACCCGGCGAAUUUUAAAAAUCCAUAUCCAAAUCCGAACCUACCAAAAAUUCGAAACCCAAAUCUGAAUCCGAAUCCGAAACAAUUAUUUCUAUUUUCAAUAUAUCAAAAUAUUACAUUAAAUCUAAAUUUUUAAAAUAUAAAUUCAAAUAUUACAUCAAAUUUUUAUAUGCAUAUUAUAUAUAAUAUAAAAUAAAUUCGGGGUCGGGUCGGGUUUGGGUUCGGGUCGGGUACAGUCAAAAUCCAUAUCUAAAUCCAUAUCCGUCGGAUUUUUGUUUUCGAUAUCCAUAUCCGAAACUAUAUCCAUUUAGCAUCGCCGUUCGGAUUCGGAUAUGAGUUCGGAUAAAAUUUCGGGUAUCCAUACCCAUUGACAUCCCUACUCUUUAGCCUCUUCUAUCCAUCUUUUGUCUUAUUUUAUAUUCCUACAAAUUUACAUUACAUCAGACGUCAUUAAAAAUAGUUAAUUUUGAGACCACUUGAAUACUAGUUAAUUGAUACCAAAAAAUUAUGAAAAUUGAAAGUUACAAAGUUCA
This 605-nucleotide long non-coding RNA is filed under the name Ananas comosus (pineapple). RNAcentral describes it as "long non-coding RNA (ACOM_LNC041859)". The record is from RNAcentral. Lineage: Eukaryota; Viridiplantae; Streptophyta; Magnoliopsida; Poales; Bromeliaceae.